CCCUUAGAUGUCCGGGGCCGCACGCGCUACACUGAAGGAAUCAGCGUGGCUUUCUCCCUGACCCGAAAGGGUUGGGAAACCCGUUGAAUCUCCUUCGUGAUAGGGAUUGGGGCUUGAAAUUGUUCCCCAUGAACGAGGAAUUCCCAGUAAGCGCGAGUCAUAAGCUCGCGUUGAUUACGUCCCUGCCCUUUGUACACACCGCCCGUCGCUACUACCGAUUGAACGGUUUAGUGAGGGCCUCGGAUUGGUCUCGGCCCGCUCUUUACCGGGCGGCGCCGUUGGUCGAGAAGACGCUCGAACUUGAUCGUUUAGAGGAAGUAAAAGUCGUAACA
Molecule: ribosomal RNA, 332 nt
Filed under: uncultured eukaryote
Lineage: Eukaryota
Description: partial 18S ribosomal RNA
Rfam family: Eukaryotic small subunit ribosomal RNA
Source: RNAcentral